UUCUCCACCAAGAAAUCUAAUUAAGUUCUAAAGGAAGGUUGAAAUGAAACGUGAGAGAAACACAAUUCUUCAAUAAGAUUAUUCAUGGAUCAAGGUACAUAUGUUAUUUUUAAACUAAAUUUAAUUUGUAAAAUCAUCUAGUUCAAAGAUCUUAACCCUUAUUGUUUUAUACCAUAUUAGAGUUUUAAUGUAAAGUAAUUAUGAAACAAAAGUUUACACUAACAAGGUGAAUGUCGAUUUAGAAAAAUUAAAAAAAAAAAAAGAACAAAACCAAUUAGUUGACUUUUAUUCUUUAACUAUGGAUGUUGGAUUGAAUAUAGUAAAUUAACCAUAGUUAGUUCGAUAAUUGUUUAAUCGAAAAUCGACUUCGGUCGACCAAGGAUAUAUAUAUAUAUAGUAAGGGGUGGAGGUUGUAUGUAUUUUGAUUGGUUUUGGUCAUAUGGUUUAUAGAGAAACGUAGGGGCCCAUGGGGGAGUGAUGUAAGAAUCCACAUUUCAUUAUUAAUAUAUAAAAGGACGGCACCUUAAUUCUAUUUAUAAACUAUCCUCCAAUGUAUUAUUUAUAUUUUAUAACACGUGCUAAAUUCUUUCUUUUCAUAAUUUUUUUUAAUUGCAAAAAAGUAUGUGUGUUUCUUUUCCAUUUAAUGUGAGGUGGGUAUCAUGCCACGUGUCCAACUUAAUAUAUAUAAGCUGAUCUACACCCUAUAAACCAACCAAAUGCACAUAUCAACUCUUCACUCUUAUAUAGUUUUUAUUUUUCUUUUACAUAAAUGCAAUCACUUUUAUUAUAUAUCUAAACCAUAAGUCUCAUGAAAUUACAUUUUAAAGUAGGAGAAUGUAAGAUUAUUUUUUUUUUUCUUUAAGCACAUGUAUCUCAGAAGAGUUUAAUAUCUUAUCAACAUCGAUCAUUUGCGUACUAAAAGCCACUCAAAUAAACACGGCCUAUAUGUUCCUCUAUUUAUGUCCAACCACUGGUUUUAAUUUCAUUUCUGUGGCAAAUUUGAAUAUAUAUAUAUAUAGGACCAUUAGUUUAAGAUUUUUCAUACUAUAUUGUCUUGUAUCCAACUAGUUUUUGCUACUUGUUAGGACUACUAGGAUAUAAUAUUAUUGACAAAUUGAAAAGAUUUUGUAUUGAGGAUAUUUUUGGAAUACGUUUAUUUUUCUUACAACAUGUUGAUGGAGUAAGAUUCUAAAAUUAUUUCAAUUUCUAAUCAUAAUGUGAAUGUGAAUGUAAUUUACAUAAUAUGAAUUUCAAAUUCAUAAGGUUGGUUCCAUCACCAUGACUAUGAAUCUGUGUUUUCAAUUAGUGAUCUUGGAUUGUCCCUUUACUUUUUCAUUUUUUAAUGGAUUUAGAGGAAAAUAGUAAAUAUUAAAGGCUUUAAAAAGUGACAAAAAUAUGUUGGGAAGAAUUUAAUGGGGAAUGGUUCUGUGAUGGGCCGAAUUUGGGGCAGAGUUGAGAAAUGGGCUUUGACAUGGAAGUGUGUACGCCGUACCCCACAAGGGGAAGGACGGACGGUAGAAUGAAAAGAAAGGAACGUUUGGCAAUGGGUGGGGUCCAUUUUGGAAGAUUCCUCGUUAUAAUUGGACGAUGGAAAAGGUGUGGAAAAUGAAAUUGAAAAUGAAUGGCCAGGAUUGUCCGUAUCAGGUGAUAGUGCUAAAUUUUGACUAUGACAAUUCUUUUAUUUAUUUGUCGUCUCUUCGAUGAUUGGAAGCUUCCAUUUUUAGAAACAAUAAAUCAAUUAACAUAUUGAAAUCAAUUUUUAUGUAACCUCCUUCGUCUCCUUCACUCUAUUGGUUUUUUCUUUUCUAAUAAUUUUGGCAUAAGGGAAUUGAAUGUGAUAUAAAUAUUGUUUGGUGUGAGAUUUAUAGAAAUGGAGAUCAUAUUCAUACUUUUUGUACACUUCUGUCAUCUAUUUGUAAUACUACAAUAUCAAUACUAUUUAAUUAGUCAAUUAAAAUGACUUCAAUUGAUGGGAUAGGAUUUAAUGUUUUAAGAGUUUCAUUUUGCAUCCAAAUCUAUAAUAAUUAGCCUUGAUAUUACCAUUGAUAUUUGAUCCAGUUUCGCUUCUAGAGUUGAAGAUGGUUGUAAUUGAUGAAUGGAAGGUUUGGGAGAUGAAAAAUAAUCAAGUGUUCCAAAAGAUGGUUACGGCACUUGCGCUACUAUUGCUUCUAUUGAGAAGAGUGCCCAAGAGGAGGAAAAUUCAUGUGUGGGGUUUGUCGAUAAAGAUGUGGGGAAUUAACCAUUUCAAUCAUCCUCUUCUUUCUUCUGUCUCGUUGGUUUAUUCCUCUUUGGUAUUAUGACCAACAAUAAUUUAAUGGACUAGGUUGGAUGUUUUAAGACUAUGUGAGUUGUAAAGUCAAGGUUUUUUAAGGGGUGAUUAUUGUAUGAAGAUUUUAUUUAAUAUUAUCUAUUUGAAUGUACCAACCCAUGAUUAUCGUUGGUUAAUAUGUUAAAAAAAAAAUUAUCCUCUGAAUUUUGUA
Molecule: long non-coding RNA, 2480 nt
Filed under: Cucumis sativus (cucumber)
Lineage: Eukaryota; Viridiplantae; Streptophyta; Magnoliopsida; Cucurbitales; Cucurbitaceae
Description: long non-coding RNA (CSAT_LNC000277)
Source: RNAcentral